This 1447-nucleotide long non-coding RNA is filed under the name Salmo salar (Atlantic salmon). RNAcentral describes it as "lncRNA (ENSSSAG00000106491.1)". The record is from RNAcentral. Lineage: Eukaryota; Metazoa; Chordata; Actinopteri; Salmoniformes; Salmonidae.
CAGCAAACGGCAGGCCAGUGGUUGAAAACGGGUUAUUGAUGAAAGAUGACAAAGGAGGCGGACACGAAUUGUGCAGCGCAACAGACAGGCUACAGUUAGUCAACUGACAGUCUAGCACAACAAAGCGAAUUGUGCAGCGCAACAGACAGGCUACAGUUAGUCAACUGACAGUCCAGCACAACAAAGCGAAUUGUGCAGCGCAACAGACAGGCUACAGUUAGUCAACUGACAGUCCAGCACAACAAAGCGAAUUGUGCAGCGCAACAGACAGGCUACAGUUAGUCAACUGACAGUCUAGCACAACAAAGCGAAUUGUGCAUAAAAUAACACACAACUCGUAGUACCUUGACACGAAUGUGGUAUGGCAGCCGACAACCUUACAGAGUUCCACUUCUGAGAGAAUGCCAAGAUUUGUUUAACACUUUUUUGGUUACUACAUGAUUCCAUUUGUGUUAUUUCAUAGUUUUGAUGUCUUCAUUAUUAUUCUACAAUGUAGAAGAUAGUAAAAAUAAAGAAAAACCCUUGAAUGAGUAGGAGUGUCCAAACUUUUGACUGGUACUGUAUGUACAUAAACACUUUGUUUUUUUACAAAUCCAUAUUUGGAGUCAAAUAUCAAUAUAAUAUCAUCCAAAAAUAUUACGAUAUGUCUAUCAACUCCCCCCCCAUCAAUAAUUAAGACAGUUUAAACCUCUGCAGUCCCGUUCCCUGUGUGUGUACUGUUGUCGUCUGGUGGACAUCUGUUAGGAAGAUUAUCAACUGUGCUUCUUGCAUUUCAGACAUCAUCAAGGACGUAGGCAACAAGGACGUAGGCAACGAGGACGUAGGCAACAAGGACGUAGGCAACGAGGACGUAGGCAACGAGGACGUAGGCAACAAGGACGUAGGCAAAGAGGACAUAGGCAACGAGGACGUAGGCAACGAGGACGUAAGAUUUACAUGUCAAAGGCUACAUAUUCCACUGCCUAACAGAGGGGGAAAAAAUGACUUUUCUACAUCAGUAGACUUUUCAUGUCAGUGGGAAAAUGGGUAUUAAAUAGCAUCUAGAUGACCCAGAUUGGAUUAUAAUGCCAUUUGAAGGAUACAGCUACAGGCAUCUCUCCCAGCAUCACUACUUUGCAUUAGGACAAAUUAACUCACAACCUCUCUGUUAUUCAGGAACCAUUUGAACAAUGACUAAAACGUGGGACAAUCACAGCGAAACACACACAUUUAAAAUGUCCUCUUAGAUCGACCGUCUGUUCAAAAUGUCGCUUGCCAGAGUAACACAGUCAUCAUUCCCAGGACUACAUUAGGCCACAUUAACUCAACCUCUGUCUUGGACAAUCACACACACUUUUAAAAUGCACUCUUAGUACCAUAGGAGUCCACAGGCUUGGUUAUCACUAGAUGUUAUAAAGGACCACAGGCUUGGUUAUCACUAGAUGUUAUAAAGGACCACAGGCUUGGU